This is a long non-coding RNA of Cephus cinctus (wheat stem sawfly), 376 nucleotides long. RefSeq lists it as uncharacterized. NCBI's taxonomy places the organism in Eukaryota, Metazoa, Arthropoda, Insecta, Hymenoptera, Cephidae. The transcript has 2 exons. The record is from RefSeq and is a predicted model, not a curated record.
GAUACUGAGCCAUGUCCUCGGUCAAAUUUUGUAUGCUGUUCCAUGAUUGUAGAUUCUUAAGAUCUUUGUCGCACAGAUUACCGACUGUAACGUGUAACACAUUUCUUAGAACAAUACCGUAUGUAGUAAUACUAUCAAGUUACUGGACGGAUGUAUUUACGUUAUUUGGAUGAAGAUAGCAACAUAGACAACAAUUACGUGUAUAUGAUGACAAUUUGCAAUUGUGAAAGGAAAAAAUAUCAAGUCGGAAAUACCAAUUGCAUUAUUGUAAAUAAAGGAUAAAGCAGGAUUUAAAAAAAAUGGUGUGUACGAGGCUUAAGGAUAAAUUACAAUAUUGUAACUAGACAUGUGUAAUACAGAGGAUAUACUUUGUCAA